Molecule: ribosomal RNA, 496 nt
Filed under: uncultured bacterium
Lineage: Bacteria
Description: partial 16S ribosomal RNA
Rfam family: Bacterial small subunit ribosomal RNA
Source: RNAcentral
AUGCACGCUGGCGGCGUGCCUAAUACAUGCCAGUCGAGCGAACGGACGAGAAGCUUGCUUCUCUGAUGUUAGCGGCGGACGGGUGAGUAACACGUGGAUAACCUACCUAUAAGACUGGGAUAACUUCGGGAAACCGGAGCUAAUACCGGAUAAUAUUUUGAACCGCAUGGUUCAAAAGUGAAAGACGGUCUUGCUGUCACUUAUAGAUGGAUCCGCGCUGCAUUAGCUAGUUGGUAAGGUAACGGCUUACCAAGGCAACGAUGCAUAGCCGACCUGAGAGGGUGAUCGGCCACACUGGAACUGAGACACGGUCCAGACUCCUACGGGAGGCAGCAGUAGGGAAUCUUCCGCAAAGGGCGAAAGCCUGACGGAGCAACGCCGCGUGAGUGAUGAAGGUCUUCGGAUCGUAAAACUCUGUUAUUAGGGAAGAACAUAUGUGUAAGUAACUGUGCACAUCUUGACGGUACCUAAUCAGAAAGCCACGGCUAACUACGUG